UGUUGGCUUAGUGGUUUGAGCGUCCGCCUCAGAUGUGGGAUGUCGCGAGUUCUAACCACGGCCGGGUAAU
This is a non-coding RNA of Potamilus streckersoni, 70 nucleotides long. NCBI's taxonomy places the organism in Eukaryota, Metazoa, Mollusca, Bivalvia, Unionida, Unionidae. The record is from the annotation of a GenBank genome assembly.